CCUACGGGUGGCAGCAGUGGGGAAUAUUGCACAAUGGGGGAAACCCUGAUGCAGCAACGCCGCGUGGGUGAAGAAGUAUUUCGGUAUGUAAAGCCCUAUCAGCAGGGAAGAGAAUGACGGUACCUGACUAAGAAGCCCCGGCUAACUACGUGCCAGCAGCCGCGGUAAUACGUAGGGGGCAAGCGUUAUCCGGAUUUACUGGGGGGAAAGGGAGCGUAGACGGUUGUGCAAGUCUGAAGUGAAAGCCCGCGGCUCAACUGCGGAACGGCGUUGGAAAAUGUGUAACUGGAGUGCAGGAGAGGGAAGCGGAAUUCCUGGUGUAGCGGUGAAAUGCGUAGAGAUCAGGAGGAACACCGGCGGCGAAGGCGGCUUACUGGACAGUAACUGACGUUGAGGCUCGAAAGCGUGGGGAGCAAACAGGAUUAGAUACCCGAGUAGUC
Molecule: ribosomal RNA, 440 nt
Filed under: uncultured bacterium
Lineage: Bacteria
Description: partial 16S ribosomal RNA
Rfam family: Bacterial small subunit ribosomal RNA
Source: RNAcentral